This 254-nucleotide ribosomal RNA is filed under the name uncultured bacterium. RNAcentral's name for it is "partial 16S ribosomal RNA". It matches the Rfam family "Bacterial small subunit ribosomal RNA", at positions 524 to 776 of the family's 1533-position model. The record is from RNAcentral.
UACGUAGGUGGCAAGCGUUGUCCGGAAUUAUUGGGCGUAAAGCGCGCGCAGGCGGCCUCUUAAGUCUGAUGUGAAAGCCCCCGGCUCAACCGGGGGAGGGCCAUUGGAAACUGGGAGGCUUGAGUAUAGGAGAGAAGAGUGGAAUUCCACGUGUAGCGGUGAAAUGCGUAGAGAUGUGGAGGAACACCAGUGGCGAAGGCGACUCUUUGGCCUAUAACUGACGCUGAGGCGCGAAAGCGUGGGGAGCAAACAGG